Molecule: ribosomal RNA, 471 nt
Filed under: uncultured bacterium
Lineage: Bacteria
Description: partial 16S ribosomal RNA
Rfam family: Bacterial small subunit ribosomal RNA
Source: RNAcentral
GACGAACGCUGGCGGCGUGCUUAACACAUGCAAGUCGAACGAUGAAGCCUAGCUUGCUAGGGGGAUUCGUGGCGCACGGGUGAGUAAUACGUGAGUAUCCUCCCUUUAACACUGGGAUAAGCCCGGGAGACUCGGUCUCAUACAGCAUACGACCACUCCCCGCAUGUGGUGUGGGUGGGAAGCGUUAUGUGGUGGUGAUAGAUGGGCUCACGGCCUAUCAGCUUGUUGGUGAGGUAACGGCUCACCAAGGCGACGACGGGUAGCCGGCCUGAGAGGGUGACCGGCCACACUGGGACUGAGACACGGCCCAGACUCCUACGGGAGGCAGCAGUGGGGAAUAUUGCACAAUGGGCGCAAGCCUGAUGCAGCGACGCCGCGUGAGGGAUGACGGCCUUCGGGUUGUAAACCUCUGUUAGCAGGGAAGAAGAGAGAGUGACGGUAACGGCAGAGAAAGCGCCGGCUAACUACGUG